AGUGAACGCUGGCGGUAGGCCUAACACAUGCAAGUCGAACGGCAGCACAGUAAGAGCUUGCUCUUACGGGUGGCGAGUGGCGGACGGGUGAGGAAUACAUCGGAAUCUACUUUUUCGUGGGGGAUAACGUAGGGAAACUUACGCUAAUACCGCAUACGACCUACGGGUGAAAGCAGGGGAUCUUCGGACCUUGCGCGAUUGAAUGAGCCGAUGUCGGAUUAGCUAGUUGGCGGGGUAAAGGCCCACCAAGGCGACGAUCCGUAGCUGGUCUGAGAGGAUGUUCACGCACACCGGAAAUGAGACACGGUCCCGACUCCUAGGGGAGGCAGCAGAGGGGAAUAUUUGGGACAGGGCGCAAACCUCAUCCCGGCAUACCGCGUGGGUGGAGAAGGCCUUUGGGGUGUGAAACCCUUUUGUUGGGAAAGAAAAGCAGCAGGGUUAUACCCCGAUGUUCUGACGGUACCCAAAGAAUAAGCCCCGGCUAACUUUGUG
This 492-nucleotide ribosomal RNA is filed under the name uncultured bacterium. RNAcentral's name for it is "partial 16S ribosomal RNA". It matches the Rfam family "Bacterial small subunit ribosomal RNA", at positions 29 to 507 of the family's 1533-position model. The record is from RNAcentral.